GAUGAACGCUAGCUACAGGCUUAACACAUGCAAGUCGAGGGGAAACGACAUCGAAAGCUUGCUUUUGAUGGGCGUCGACCGGCGCACGGGUGAGUAACGCGUAUCCAACCUGCCCAUCACUUGGGGAUAACCUUGCGAAAGUAAGACUAAUACCCAAUGAUAUCUCUAGAAGACAUCUGGAAGAGAUUAAAGAUUUAUCGGUGAUGGAUGGGGAUGCGUCUGAUUAGCUUGUUGGCGGGGUAACGGCCUACCAAGGCAACGAUCAGUAGGGGUUCUGAGAGGAAGGUCCCCCACAUUGGAACUGAGACACGGUCCAAACUCCUACGGGAGGCAGCAGUGAGGAAUAUUGGUCAAUGGGCGAGAGCCUGAACCAGCCAAGUAGCGUGCAGGAAGACGGCCCUAUGGGUUGUAAACUGCUUUUAUAAGGGAAUAAAGUGAGAGUCGUGACUCUUUUUGUAUGUACCUUAUGAAUAAGGACCGGCUAAUUCCGUG
RNAcentral lists this ribosomal RNA (492 nucleotides) under uncultured bacterium. RNAcentral's name for it is "partial 16S ribosomal RNA". It matches the Rfam family "Bacterial small subunit ribosomal RNA", at positions 28 to 507 of the family's 1533-position model. The record is from RNAcentral.